Molecule: ribosomal RNA, 253 nt
Filed under: uncultured bacterium
Lineage: Bacteria
Description: partial 16S ribosomal RNA
Rfam family: Bacterial small subunit ribosomal RNA
Source: RNAcentral
UACGUAGGGUCCAAGCGUUAAUCGGAAUUACUGGGCGUAAAGCGUGCGCAGGCGGUUGGCAAAGUCAGCUGUGAAAGCCCCGGGCUUAACCUGGGAAUGGCGGUUGAAACUAGUCGACUAGAAUCUGGCAGAGGGGGGUGGAAUUCCAGGUGUAGCGGUGAAAUGCGUAGAUAUCUGGAGGAACACCGGUGGCGAAGGCGGCAUCCUGGACCGACACUGACGCUGAGGCGCGAAAGCUAGGGUAGCAAACGGG